Molecule: ribosomal RNA, 821 nt
Filed under: Desertiserpentica hydei
Lineage: Eukaryota; Fungi; Ascomycota; Dothideomycetes; Pleosporales; Lophiostomataceae
Description: Pleosporales sp. DST-2020a partial small subunit ribosomal RNA
Rfam family: Eukaryotic large subunit ribosomal RNA
Source: RNAcentral
GGCGAGUGAAGCGGCAACAGCUCAAAUUUGAAAUCUGGCUCUUUCAGAGUCCGAGUUGUAAUUUGUAGAGGGUGCUUUGGGGUUGACUGUGGUCUAAGUUCCUUGGAACAGGACGUCGCAGAGGGUGAGAAUCCCGUAUGUGGCCGCCAGUCUUCACCGUGUAAAGCCCCUUCAACGAGUCGAGUUGUUUGGGAAUGCAGCUCUAAAUGGGAGGUAAAUUUCUUCUAAAGCUAAAUAUUUGCCAGAGACCGAUAGCGCACAAGUAGAGUGAUCGAAAGAUGAAAAGCACUUUGGAAAGAGAGUCAAAAAGCACGUGAAAUUGUUGAAAGGGAAGCGCUUGCAGUUAGACAUGCCUUUAGUUGCUCAGCCAGGCUUCUGCCUGGUGCACUCUUCUAUUGGCAGGCCAGCAUCAGUUUGGGCGGUUGGAUAAAGGUCUAUUAAAUGUGACUCCCUUCGGGGAGAGCUUAUAGGGUAGACGACAUGCAACCAGUCUGAACUGAGGUCCGCGCAUCUGCUAGGAUGCUGGCGUAAUAGCUGUAAGCGGCCCGUCUUGAAACACGGACCAAGGAGUCUAACAUCUAUGCGAGUGUUUGGGUGUCAAGCCCGAGCGCGUAAUGAAAGUAAACGGAGGUGGGAACCCUUUGGGUGCACCAUCGACCGAUCCUGAUGUCUUCGGAUGGAUUUGAGUAAGAGCAUAGCUGUUGGGACCCGAAAGAUGGUGAACUAUGCCUGAAUAGGGUGAAGCCAGAGGAAACUCUGGUGGAGGCUCGCAGCGGUUCUGACGUGCAAAUCGAUCGUCAAAUUUGGGCAUAGGGGCGAAA